GCCCCUGUGGCGGAAUUGGUAGACGCGACAGACUCAAAAUCUGUUGGGGGUAACUCCGUGCUGGUUCGAGUCCGGCCAGGGGCA
Molecule: transfer RNA, 84 nt
Filed under: Candidatus Phaeomarinibacter ectocarpi
Lineage: Bacteria; Pseudomonadati; Pseudomonadota; Alphaproteobacteria; Hyphomicrobiales; Parvibaculaceae
Description: Candidatus Phaeomarinobacter ectocarpi tRNA-Leu-CAA
Rfam family: tRNA
About the family: Transfer RNA (tRNA) molecules are approximately 80 nucleotides in length.
Source: RNAcentral